Molecule: ribosomal RNA, 778 nt
Filed under: uncultured Neocallimastigales
Lineage: Eukaryota; Fungi; Neocallimastigomycota; Neocallimastigomycetes; Neocallimastigales
Description: partial large subunit ribosomal RNA
Rfam family: Eukaryotic large subunit ribosomal RNA
Source: RNAcentral
UAGAUGCGAGAGUAGAGCAUAUCAAUAAGCGGAGGAAAAGAAACUAACAAGGAUUCCCCUAGUAACGGCGAGUGAAGCGGGAAGAGCUCAAAUUUGAAAUCUUCAAGGUUCUACCUUGACGAAUUGUAGUUUAUAGAAGUGUUUUCUGUUAGUAGGAGUGGCAAAAGUUCUUUGGAAUAGGACAUCAUAGAGGGUGAGAAUCCCGUAUUUGGUCAUUCUUCUAGCGUUGUGAUACACUUUCAACGAGUCGGAUUGUUUGGGAAUGCAGUCCAAAAUGGGUGGUAAAUUUCAUCUAAAGCUAAAUAUUGGCGAGAGACCGAUAGCGAACAAGUACCGUGAGGGAAAGAUGAAAAGAACUUUGAAAAGAGAGUUAAACAGUACGUGAAAUUGUCAAAAGGGAAGCGUUUGACACCAGUGUUGUUUUUCCGAAAAUCAAUUACGAAUGUUUUAUUUUUGAGGAGUUAUGACUUCAUCGGCUUGCUUCUCUCUUUAUCGAAACUUUCUUAAUGCACUUUUCGGUUAACAAGUCAACAUUCAAUUUCUUUUGUUGUAAAAGGGUAUGAGGAAGGUGGCUUUCUUUUCGGAGAAAGUGUUUAUAGCCUUGUAGCCUCUGCAAUCGGAGAGAUUGAGGUCUGCAGCGUAGAUCCUUCGGGGUUAGAUACAGUUUGUGCUAAGUUAUAGCUUUUCAUAGACAACUUGUUGACUAUGUUUAGUCUUGUAGCUUACUCGCUUAUGCUAUUUUACCUACGCUUAGGAUGUUGACACACGCGCGUGCUCG